Molecule: ribosomal RNA, 497 nt
Filed under: uncultured bacterium
Lineage: Bacteria
Description: partial 16S ribosomal RNA
Rfam family: Bacterial small subunit ribosomal RNA
Source: RNAcentral
GAUGAACGCUGGCGGCGUGCCUAAUACAUGCAAGUCGAGCGAACGGACGAGAAGCUUGCUUCUCUGAUGUUAGCGGCGGACGGGUGAGUAACACGUGGAUAACAUACCUAUAAGACUGGGAUAACUUCGGGAAACCGGAGCUAAUACCGGAUAAUAUUUUGAACCGCAUGGUUCAAAAGUGAAAGACGGUCUUGCUGUCACUUAUAGAUGGAUCCGCGCUGCAUUAGCUAGUUGGUAAGGUAACGGCUCACCAAGGCGACGAUCCGUAGCUGACCUGAGAGGAUGAUCAGCCAUACUGGAACUGAGACACGGUCCAGACUCCUACGGGAGGCAGCAGUGGGGAAUAUUGGACAAUGGGCGCAAGCCUGAUCCAGCCAUACCGCGUGGGUGAAGAAGGCCUUCGGGUUGUAAAGCCCUUUUGUUGGGAAAGAAAAGCAGCAGGUUAAUACCCCGCUGUUCUGACGGUACCCAAAGAAUAAGCACCGGCUAACUUCGUG